ACUACAGACUCUGGUUGAGGUUUGCUGCUUGUUCCAAUUUGUUAGCUCCUCUGAAGAGAGACCGGGAGCUGGCAGAAGCCACAGAUGCUUUCCUGCAGGAGAAAGAACCAUCUUUCUGGUCGAGAUUCACUGAACAACCAGGGGGAGGCUGGAACAGAGACCUCCAGAGGACCCAUCCAACCCACGGCAGUCAGGAAAGCUUUUGAUGUUGAGAUUUGUGAAGCUGCCUGUGUGGGAAAAGCCUGGAAGGAACAUCCCCAUGACUACCAAAUCCAGCCUGAGCUCGGCAGGGGAAACCUUCUCACUGCUAGAAAGGUGCAGAUGUGAGCUCCUGGAAUAACACGUAAGCUAAAUCAUUUAACAUCAUGCAGAACUCAUCCUUCCCACUGCAUCAAUCCAUUUUCUCUUGGCAAAGGAGAAAUUGCAAUCUGCCAGCCAGGGAUGCCCAUGUCUUGUGAGCAGCAGAGGGGUUCCCAGGUGGAUCCCCAAAGAUGGAGACAAGUUGUGGGGGGAUAAAAUACAAAGACUACAACUGCUGCAAUAGUUCACAGGUCCAGUUUCAGAACUGAGAGGUUCUGCCCUGCAUUUUGCUAUGGGAUGGAUUCAUCUUGGAGACAGAUGUGAAAAGUUGAGGUAACCAGCUCAUAGUGAAGGAGUCAGAGUCCAGCUCACCACAGUCCCAUUGCAGUCAGCAGUGGUAUGCACAGAGGAACCCCAGUGUACCCUUCCAGCUUCCCAUAAACAGAGUUAGGGGAAAAAAAGGCCCAGUAGCAUUUCAGAGUGAGACUGAGCAGCAGCAGCCUGUGGGCAUCAAUUGGAAAAGAGUGAGGAUGAAAGAUGCAUGACCCAGAGGAGGAGAAGGAUAAAAUGUGUUCCUUCGGAUACGAAAUUGAUUGCAAACCUACUGCUGUGAAUAAAACAGAGCUGUUCUUCUCAUACAAUGGACAGCUCCUGUUGUUUGGAGCCUGAGCUUGUGUUUCACUGCAGCAAAAGUGGUUGGAAGCACCAGGAUGGUGCUGAACAUGGGGCAGCUUGGCUCAGUAACCAAAUGGGCUUUUGGAGAUGUACACAGCAGGUGUCCCUUGGAGAGCACUCCUGGAGUUGAGGGUGAGGGUAUGUAUGCAUGGUCAGUGUACCUGAUGUGUACAAACCAACCUGGCUAAAAUCCUCUGCCCCAGCAUUUUUUAUAGAAUACUUUGCCUCAGCUCAGUGAAAGCUAACCCCUUCCUGAGGGUCAGGCAUUCAUUGCAAAUCCUAUCAUGCUAGCAUCACUUCCACACUGCCCUGAUGCUUUCAGGACACAGAUCACAUGAUUUAGUGGGCAGUUACCAGCUGCGUGUGUAUGGGAUCACAUGCACUGCACUGAAACUACCAUGUGACACAUCCUGGGCUUGAUUAGGAACAAAUCAAUAUUCAUUGGGCUAACUGGGUUGUUAUUUUUCCACUGCUCCACUAAUAUAACAGCCUGACUGGACUGUGUGUCUCUUUCUGACUCAGGCAGAAACGGUCAGUUAAAAUAUGCAUAUUGGAGAAAUAUCCUUCACCUUGCAUCUCACAAGAGUACUAGAAUGCAUUUAGCCAGAGUGCCCCCAUCUGCACAAUCCUGUCCAUGCAGGGAGAGGUGGAGUUGGGGGUCUGCUGCUUUCAAGACGCUCAAAAUCCCUGUAUCUCUGCAAGGACAGCAAGAAUCGAUACAACUCUCCUAAAUCCCAUUUCUUAUUUAAUAUUUGUUUAAGAUAAAAAGAAUUUAAAGGGAAUGUAGAAAUUGCUAUCUCAUACCCAGGAAAAACCAUCUUUAAGAGAGUGAAACACCAGCUGAGAACUGCCAUCCUCUCUACAUCUUCCUUUCCUUUCAGCCAAGCCAUAUUUUUUGCUGUAUUGAUUUCCAUGAGCAGAGGGCAAAUGUUUUUUUUCCCCCUGCCCUUCAAAAUAGGGUCUGCUGUAACGUAGCAGGGAGCAAGGCCAUCUUAUGCUUUGCUUCGGAAGUUGCCCUGUGUGGCCCUGGAUGAUGAUAAAAGAUGGGGACCUUCUGCAGAACUGCUGAUGCACAGGUCCCAAAAACAUAUUAAUUAUAAUUCUGGGUGGUAGGAAAUUGUACGUGACACAAGUUCAGCCUGCACAUAAUUGCAUCUGCCCGCAUCUUACACUCAGGAGAAAGAAAUAAGCAGGCUGUUUCUGAGGUUUUCAAAAACGAGCUGCCUGAUACCCCUGGAAGCAGAAUAAAGUUACGUCUUUUUUCAUUGUUGGCAUUAUCAUAAAUAAUGUUCUGAGCCUGAAUCCAUUACUGAGUUGGAGAGGGACUCGUAGACCUUCGAAGGCAAUUAGGAUCAGCUGCAAAGGACAAUGUGUUCUUUUUUUAACAUGUAUCUGUACAGCAUUGUUACGGUGCCUGGAGAGAGAUGCUUGGGAACUGCUCCUCUCCAUGAAAACUUCUGAUUAAAAUAAUAGAAGAUUUUAGAUUUACCAAAUACAUUUUUUCCAGAGCCUUUGGGUUUUUCU
This is a long non-coding RNA of Gallus gallus (chicken), 2499 nucleotides long. Lineage: Eukaryota; Metazoa; Chordata; Aves; Galliformes; Phasianidae. The record is from Ensembl.